Molecule: transfer RNA, 74 nt
Filed under: Nephila pilipes (giant wood spider)
Lineage: Eukaryota; Metazoa; Arthropoda; Arachnida; Araneae; Nephilidae
Rfam family: tRNA
About the family: Transfer RNA (tRNA) molecules are approximately 80 nucleotides in length. Their secondary structure includes four short double-helical elements and three loops (D, anti-codon, and T loops).
Source: Rfam by way of RNAcentral
GGCGCCGUGGCUUAGUUGGUUAAAGCGCCUGUCUAGUAAACAGGAGAUCACGAGUUCGAAUCUCUUUGGUGCCU